This 223-nucleotide unclassified non-coding RNA is filed under the name uncultured Actinomycetes bacterium. RNAcentral's name for it is "uncultured actinobacterium contains 16S-23S intergenic spacer region". The record is from RNAcentral. Lineage: Bacteria; Bacillati; Actinomycetota; Actinomycetes.
UCCGGUUUGGCACCGGCAGUCUCCGAUGAGUCCCCGGCAUUACCCGCUGGCAACAUCGGACAGGGGUUGCGCUCGUUGCGCCACUUAAGGCAACACCUCACGGCACGAGCUGACGACAGCCAUGCAGCACCUGUGCAGGCUCCCGAAGGAGCGCCGUGUUUCCACGGCUUCACCCUGCAUGUCAAGUCCAGGUAAGGUGGGGAUGACGUCCCACAGACUAUAC